UCUUCCUCUCCAGAGUGUUGUAAGUGUGGCUGCUGUGUCACAUGUGCAUCAGUAGGUAGCAGAGAGGACAGAGGCUAUGUUUAUGCUUAGUGUUCUGAUCUGUGAACAUCUGAAUGAUUGAUUAGUAGGCCUAACAUU
Grammomys surdaster is the source of this 138-nucleotide small nucleolar RNA. RefSeq annotates it as small nucleolar RNA SNORA17. The transcript has a single exon. Lineage: Eukaryota; Metazoa; Chordata; Mammalia; Rodentia; Muridae. The record is from RefSeq and is a predicted model, not a curated record.